AUUGAACGCUGGCGGCAGGCCUAACACAUGCAAGUCGAGCGGCAGCGGAAAGUAGCUUGCUACUUUGCCGGCGAGCGGCGGACGGGUGAGUAAUGUCUGGGAAACUGCCUGAUGGAGGGGGAUAACUACUGGAAACGGUAGCUAAUACCGCAUAACGUCGCAAGACCAAAGAGGGGGACCUUCGGGCCUCUUGCCAUCAGAUGUGCCCAGAUGGGAUUAGCUAGUAGGUGGGGUAACGGCUCACCUAGGCGACGAUCCCUAGCUGGUCUGAGAGGAUGACCAGCCACACUGGAACUGAGACACGGUCCAGACUCCUACGGGAGGCAGCAGUGGGGAAUAUUGCACGAUGGGCGCAAGCCUGAUGCAGCCAUGCCGCGUGUAUGAAGAAGGCCUUCGGGUUGUAAAGUACUUUCAGCGGGGAGGAAGGUGUUGUGGUUAAUAACCACAGCAAUUGACGUUACCCGCAGAAGAAGCACCGGCUAACUCCGUGCCAGCAGCCGCGGUAA
RNAcentral lists this ribosomal RNA (506 nucleotides) under uncultured bacterium. RNAcentral's name for it is "partial 16S ribosomal RNA". It matches the Rfam family "Bacterial small subunit ribosomal RNA", at positions 30 to 523 of the family's 1533-position model. The record is from RNAcentral.